Molecule: ribosomal RNA, 490 nt
Filed under: uncultured bacterium
Lineage: Bacteria
Description: partial 16S ribosomal RNA
Rfam family: Bacterial small subunit ribosomal RNA
Source: RNAcentral
AUUGAACGCUGGCGGCAGGCCUAACACAUGCAAGUCGAACGGUAACAGGAAGAAGCUUGCUUCUUUGCUGACGGGUGGCGGACGGGUGAGUAAUGUCUGGGAAACUGCCUGAUGGAGGGGGAUAACUACUGGAAACGGUAGCUAAUACCGCAUAACGUCGCAAGACCAAAGGGGGGGACCUUCGGGCCUUUUGCCAUCGGAUGUGCCCAGAUGGGAUUAGCUAGUAGGUGGGGUAACGGCUCACCUAGGCGACGAUCCCUAGCUGGUCUGAGAGGAUGACCAGCCACACUGGAACUGAGACACGGUCCAGACUCCUACGGGAGGCAGCAGUGGGGAAUAUUGCACAAUGGGCGCAAGCCUGAUGCAGCCAUGCCGCGUGUAUGAAGAAGGCCUUCGGGUUGUAAAGUACUUUCAGCGGGGAGGAAGGGAGUAAAGUUAAUACCUUUGCUCAUUGACGUUACCCGCAGAAGAAGCACCGGCUAACUCCGUG